Macaca mulatta (Rhesus monkey) is the source of this 1895-nucleotide non-coding RNA. Lineage: Eukaryota; Metazoa; Chordata; Mammalia; Primates; Cercopithecidae. The record is from RefSeq and is a predicted model, not a curated record.
UGCUCCAUGGCAUCGGAGGCCCCCUCUGGAAAGACUCAAAGACUCAAUAGCUGGAAGCUGGAAUCAUCUGGAGGUUUCUUCACUUAUGUGUCCAGCACUUGAAUCUGGGUCCUCACCUGGACGGUUGAUCGGAACACCUAUCUGUGGACCCUCCAUGUGGGCAGCUGCUUUGCACUUCCUCAUAAUGCGGCAGCCACAUCAAAGGGCCACAUUCCAAGGUGCAAAGCAGAAGUAUAUAGAAUUUUUACAAUCUAACAGUAGAAGAGAAACUUUACCCAAAAUAAAUUUAACAGAGUAUCUUUGAGCAAAGAAUGACUUGAGAAUUAAGUAAUCCUCAGAACAAGAAAAGGUUCCAAGAACGCCACUCUGCAACAUGGACAGUUGAGAGAAAAAGGCCAGAGAAGGCAGAAACAAGGAACAAAAAGCAGAUUGGUCAUUUCAAAGCUACUUUCCUUGUAAAGCAGAGUGGAUUUUCCUAUCCUGCUGGCCAAAAGUGAUCUGUUUCAGAAUUUGGCUAUUAUUUCUCUCUCUUUCCUGAUUCCUGGGAAGGUCAGACAAAUAUUGGUGUGGUGAUAUGAAACUUUGGCAUGAGUGAUGCUGUUUUGGUUUGGUCUGUUGAGUCUGCAGGAGCUCAGUCCAAAAUAGUGAACUCCUGUAAACUGUACUUAACACUAGCCUCACAAGUUACAUUGUGUCACUGCCAGAGGCCUUGGACCCAGAGUGACUUCCUCUUGAAUAGGGGCUGGGUAAAAUGAGGCUGAGACCCAUUGGGCUGCAUUCUCAGGAGGUUAGGCAUUUUUAGUCAUAGGAUGAGAUAGGAGGUCAGCACAAGAUACAAGUCACAAAGACCUUGUUGAUAAAACUGGAAGCGGCGUAGAAGCCAGGCAAAACCCGCCAAAACCAAGAUGGUGAUAAAAAUGACCUCUGGUCACCCUCACUGCUCAUUAUACAUUAAUUAUAAUGCAUUUACAUGCCAAAAGGCACUCCCACCAGCACUAUGACCAUUUACAAAUGCCAGGGCAACAUCAAGAAGUUACCCUGUAUUGUCUAAAAAUGGGAGGAACCCUCAGUUCUGGAAAUUGCCCAUCCUUUUCCUCCAAGUAGCUAUUCUUCUGCUCCUUUACUUUCUUAAUAAAUUUGCUUUCACUUUACUCUGUGAACUCACCCCAAAUUCUUUCUUGUGCGAGGCCAAGCACCCUCUCUUCUUGGGGUGUGGAUCAGGACCCCUUUCCAGUAACAUCACUUCUACUAUGUUCAGCUGAGGCAGUGACAAAGGUCUGUCUGGGUUUUGGGGGAGGAGCUCAAAGGAGGAGUGUUAAGGUCCCAUGGGAAGAGGAGCAUGCAGCAGUGGCAAUCUUGUGACCAUCUUUGGAAAAUUCAAUCAGUAAGGUGCAAUUUCUCAAUUUUUCUCAUUUCUCUAUCAUUACAAAAUUACUUAAAAUCCUAAAAGUAAUAUAAAUACAGUAACAAAACUUAGAAAACAUAAAAGAAAAAUCCAUAAUUGUCCUCCUUCAUGUAAUUGCCCCACAGGUUCUUCCUGCCUGCUGCACGGACAAAAUCAAUCCACUGACACCAUGGCAUUGCAAUAAAGAAAGAGUUUAACUGAGAUGGAGGGAGCCUCCCUGCCAAAAGAGUCUCCGCCUGGAGUUGAAAGACCCACACUGCUCCUCACUGAUGUGCUCUCAGUCUCCUCAUCUGUAAAAUGGGGACAAUCAAAUCACACCUGUGCUGCCCACCUCAGGAUCACUGCUGUGAGGACCGAGCAACAUGAUACAUGUGAAAGAGGGGCAAAAUGGCCACGUCCUCCACACGUAAAAGCCAUGCUGACUUUGCAGACGUCUUGCCAUUCUAUUCUAAUUUGGGCACUAACUCUUUAUUAAAGCUUUAUUUUUAUA